RNAcentral lists this ribosomal RNA (468 nucleotides) under uncultured bacterium. RNAcentral's name for it is "partial 16S ribosomal RNA". It matches the Rfam family "Bacterial small subunit ribosomal RNA", at positions 28 to 507 of the family's 1533-position model. The record is from RNAcentral.
GACGAACGCUGGCGGCGUGCUUAACACAUGCAAGUCGAACGGAAAGGCCCUGCGUUUGUGGGGUGCUCGAGUGGCGAACGGGUGAGUAACACGUGAGUAACCUGCCCUUGACUUUGGGAUAACUUCAGGAAACUGGGGCUAAUAUCGGAUAGGAGCUCCUGCUGCAUGGUGGGGGGUGGAAAGUUUCGGCGGUUGGGGAUGGACGCGCGGCUUAUCAGCUUGUUGGUGGGGUAGUGGCUUACCAAGGGUUUGACGGGUAGGCGGCCUGAGAGGGUGACCGGCCACAUUGGGCCUGAGAUACGGCCCAGACUCCUACGGGAGGCAGCAGUGGGGAAUAUUGCACAAUGGGCGGAAGCCUGAUGCAGCAACGCCGCGUGCGGGAUGACGGCCUUCGGGUUGUAAACCGCUUUCGCCUGUGACGAAGCGUGAGUGACGGUAAUGGGUAAAGAAGCACCGGCUAACUACGUG